GACGAACGCUGGCGGCGUGCCUAAUACAUGCAAGUCGAGCGGUUGAAGACUUCGGUUGGAGAUAGCGGCGGACGGGUGAGUAACACGUAGGUAACCUGCCUAACAGACUGGGAUAACUACCGGAAACGGUAGCUAAGACCGGAUACGUCAAUAAGGGGGCAUCCCCGUAUUGAGAAAAGCGGAGCAAUCUGCUGCUGAUAGAUGGACCUGCGGCGCAUUAGCUAGUUGGUGAGGUAGCGGCUCACCAAGGCGACGAUGCGUAGCCGACCUGAGAGGGUGAACGGCCACACUGGGACUGAGACACGGCCCAGACUCCUACGGGAGGCAGCAGUAGGGAAUCUUCGGCAAUGGACGAAAGUCUGACCGAGCAACGCCGCGUGAGUGAUGAAGGUUUUCGGAUCGUAAAACUCUGUUGCCAGGGAAGAAAGGCUAGGGGAGUAACUGCCCUUGGAUUGGCGGUACCUGAGAAGAAAGCCCCGGCUAACUACGUGC
Molecule: ribosomal RNA, 492 nt
Filed under: uncultured bacterium
Lineage: Bacteria
Description: bacterial SSU rRNA
Rfam family: Bacterial small subunit ribosomal RNA
Source: RNAcentral